GAUGAACGCUGGCGGCGUGCCUAAUACAUGCAAGUCGAGCGAACAGACGAGGAGCUUGCUCCUCUGACGUUAGCGGCGGACGGGUGAGUAACACGUGGAUAACCUACCUAUAAGACUGGGAUAACUUCGGGAAACCGGAGCUAAUACCGGAUAAUAUAUUGAACCGCAUGGUUCAAUAGUGAAAGACGGUUUUGCUGUCACUUAUAGAUGGAUCCGCGCCGCAUGAGCUAGUUGGUAAGGUAACGGCUUACCAAGGCAACGAUGCGUAGCCGACCUGAGAGGGUGAUCGGCCACACUGGAACUGAGACACGGUCCAGACUCCUACGGGAGGCAGCAGUAGGGAAUCUUACGCAAUGGGCGAAAGCCUGACGGAGCAACGCCGCGUGAGUGAUGAAGGUCUUCGGAUCGUAAAACUCUGUUAUUAGGGAAGAACAAAUGUGUAAGUAACUAUGCACGUCUUGACGGUAACUAAUCAGAAAGCCACGGCUAACUACGUG
This 497-nucleotide ribosomal RNA is filed under the name uncultured bacterium. Its description in RNAcentral is "partial 16S ribosomal RNA". It matches the Rfam family "Bacterial small subunit ribosomal RNA", at positions 28 to 507 of the family's 1533-position model. The record is from RNAcentral.